AGGAUAGGUUCCAGUCCACAGCAGUCCUGCAAUGGAUGGAUGGACAGUUAUACAUGCAUCCCAUCCAGACUGCCACGAUCCUCACUUGGAUGAGCCGUUGUUGUGCGAAGAAAGAAGAAAUGAGAAAACAUUUCAGUCUGAAUGCUCGCUGUGUUCUUCAGAAAGGAGAAUACCAGACACCUGGGGGUUGGCGGUGGUGGUGUUGUGGAGGACCUUAUACAUCACACAGAC
This 231-nucleotide long non-coding RNA is filed under the name Scleropages formosus (Asian bonytongue). RNAcentral describes it as "lncRNA (ENSSFOG00015026738.1)". Lineage: Eukaryota; Metazoa; Chordata; Actinopteri; Osteoglossiformes; Osteoglossidae. The record is from RNAcentral.